GCGGGGUGGUUGUCAGCCCAGCACCACUGCCCAGGAUGGCUAUCAGCCCAGCGCCCCAGCCCAAGAUGGCCGCAAGCCCAGCGCCCCAGCCCAAGAUGGCCGCAAGCCCAGCGCCACAGCCCAAGAUGGCCGCAAGCCCAGCGCCACAGCCCAAGAUGGCCACCAGCCUAGCGCCACAACACAAGAUGGCCGCCAGCCUAGCGCCACAGCACAAGAUUGCCGCCUGUCCAGAGUCAUGGCCCAAGAUGGCUGCCAACCUAGCGCCACAGCCCAAGAUGGCCACCAGCCUAGCGCCACAGCCCAAGAUGGCCGCCAGCCUAGUGCCACAGUACAAGAUGGCCGCCAGCCUAGCGCCACAGCACAAGAUGGCCACUAACCCAGCGCCACAGCCCAAGAUGGCCGUCAGCCUAGCGCCACAGCACAAGAUGACUGUCAGUCCAGCGCUACAGUACAAGAUGGUGCCCGAUGCAGAGGUGGUGCUCGAUGCUGUUCCGGAGGCCGAGGUGGUGCCCGAUGCCGAGGCGGUACCCGAGGCUGAUCCAGAGGCCGAGGCGGUGCCCGAUGCUGUUCCGGAGGUCGAGGCGGUGCCCGAUGCUGUUCCGGAGGUCGAGGCGGUUCCCGAUGCUGUUCCGGAGGUCGAGACGGUGCCCGAUGCUGUUCCGGAGGUCGAGGCGGUGCCCGAUGCUGAGGCGGUACCCGAGGCUGAUCCAGAGGCCGAGGCGGUGCCCGAUGCUGUUCCCGAGGUCGAGGCGGUGCCCGAUGCUGUUCCGGAGGUCGAGGCGGUGCCCGAGGCUGUUCCGGAGGCCGAGGCGAUGCCCGAUGCCGAGGCGGUGCCCAAUGCUGUUCCGGAGGCCGAGGUAGUGCCUGAUGCCGAGGCCGUUCCCGAUGCAGUGUCUGAGGCCGUUCCAGAGACAGUGCCCGAAGCCGAGGCACCUCAGGUUUCCACAGACAGUCCGGAGUCGAGUCAUGUUCCCGUGAACUCUCCAGAGUCGAGUCCGAUUCCCAUGGACCCUCCGGAGUCGAGUCAGGUACCGGUGGACUCUCAGGAGUCGAGUCAGGUUCCGGUGGACUCUCCGGAGUCGAGUCAGGUUCCGGUGGACUCUCCGGAGUCGAGUCAGGUUCCGGUGGACUCUCCGGAGUCGAGUCAGGUUCCGGUGGACUCUCCGGAGUCGAGUCAGGUUCCGGUGGACUCUCCGGAGUCGAGUCAGGUUCCGGUGGACUCUCCGGAGUCGAGUCAGGUUCCGGUGGACUCUCCGGAGUCAGGGCUAGUCACCGCGGACUCUCCAGAGUCAGGUCAAGUCACCGAUCUUCUGGAAUCCAGUAAAG
Molecule: long non-coding RNA, 1326 nt
Filed under: Carassius auratus (goldfish)
Lineage: Eukaryota; Metazoa; Chordata; Actinopteri; Cypriniformes; Cyprinidae
Description: lncRNA (ENSCARG00000035302.1)
Source: RNAcentral